This is a small nuclear RNA of Suncus etruscus (white-toothed pygmy shrew), 104 nucleotides long. The record is from RefSeq and is a predicted model, not a curated record. Lineage: Eukaryota; Metazoa; Chordata; Mammalia; Eulipotyphla; Soricidae.
UCACUUUAGGUAGUAUAACUGCUAAAAUUUGAAUGAUUCAAAGAAGAUUACCGUGGCCCCAGUGCCAGAAUGACACGCAAAUUAGACAAGUGUUUUGUGCUUCU